RNAcentral lists this long non-coding RNA (2262 nucleotides) under Sus scrofa (pig). Its description in RNAcentral is "lncRNA (ENSSSCG00070011350.1)". Lineage: Eukaryota; Metazoa; Chordata; Mammalia; Artiodactyla; Suidae. The record is from RNAcentral.
UCCCAGGCCCCCGACCUCAGCCUGAUGCGGGAGGGACCUCUGCCCACCGGGGGAUGGUGUCGCUGUGUUCCAGGUCUCUGCAGCCUGGUGAGAUGUACCCGGAGGGCCUGGCUUCCAUCUGGCCGCUGUCCCCCCUGUCUGCCCUGGCCUUGGACUCUGCCCUCUGGCUGCGGGCAGUGAUGUGCUGGACCCCUCACUGGCUGCCCCCGAGUCCUGGCUGAUGUCCCUCGCCCUGGUGUCCUCCAAGGAAGUUUCCUUCCAGACUGGGCAGCUGGUCCACGAUCCCGGGCUGAACUUCACCACACACCCUCCUGACGCUGCUGUGGCCACUCCUGCCGCUCUGGGAUUCGCUGAGCCUCCCAGCGGCAGCCCCGCGAAUGCGGGCCAAGAGGAGGGCCCUGGCACCCACGGUGGCCAGGCAGGAGGGCAGCCAGAUGGCUUCCUGGUGACACAGCCCCCAUUGCAGGCGAGCGGCUUCCUGCUCACCCAGAGGCCCCCAGAGCUGGCCCUGGCCCCGCCUGCCUUCGCCGGCCCCCUGCCCACCGUGGAGCUGAGCCAGCCCCUGCCUUCCAGCCAGGUGAGGCCUCCUGUGAGGUUCAGGCUUUUCCUCCUAACUCCUGGUCCCUCAGCGUGUGCCUUUGGGGCGAAGAAAAUGGGCAGAGGUGCAGCGGGGCAGGGAUAGCUGGAGGCUGGACCCCAGUGGCACGGGGCCUGGAGCGGGUGUCAUGGGGCAGGUUCUUCCUGAGGGCAGAGCCAGCAGGCGGUGCCUCGACUGUGACGUGCUGUUGGCUUUCCAGGUGCAGUGGCCCGACGCCCAGGCCUCCGGUGACACCUUCUGGGGAGCCAGGAUGCUCCUGGAGCUUUCAGGGGCAGCCUGGGCUGAGCUGCCCUCUGGAGGCUGGCCGGUGCCCCAGGGAGCAGGCGUGGACACCUGGCAGCACCCGUCACAGAGCUUGCUCCCUACUGAAGAAGGAUGUCCCCAGGGUCCCCCGGGGGUGUCGCCGAGAAGCACUGAGAACUGCUGGGCCCCCUGGCCUGUUGAAUGGUUUGGUGGGCAACUCCCCAUAUGGGAGGAAGCCUCUGAGAAAGGAGCCUGAGGUCGGAGGUUGGGGGUGGGGGGGUCCUUGUGCUCAGGCAGCAGCAGUUUGCGGUCAGGCUCCCGGGCAGGCUGGGCAGUGGAGGCCGUGCUGCAGGGAGGAGGCUGCUGCUCUCCCUGCCGCCACCUGUCCUGUGACAAGGCCAGGCCUGUCUGUGGGCCUGGCGAGUGAGGAGUGGGUGGCCUUUGCCCUUUGCGUCUGAGGCUUCCGCACAGGCGCGCGGGCCUGGGGAGGGCCGGUCGGGGGCAGCUUUUCCUCUCGUUGGGAUGCGUGGUGUUUGCCGAGCAGAUGUUCUGUCAGUUAAAGUAAAGGUUAAUGUUCUGAGCUCCCCUUGGCUCACGUCACUGUCCCGGACGCCUGCCCGUCUCGGGCCUGGCGAGCGUUUCGCGGCGGGGGUGCGCUGAGCCCGCAUCCCUGUGGCUGGACACUUGGACCCUUUCCAGCAUCUGUGCUGUAUGAGCAGCAGCGCGUGGGCACCAGUGCCCUCUGCCCUUCAUCUGCAGGUUAUUUUGCUGCAGGAACAAGGAGUUGCCUGGAGGUGGGAGCAAAGGUGCCGAGCGCACCGGCGCCGCGGCCCGGGGGCUGCGACUCCCCUUUGCGGGUUGACUUGACCCCAGGGACCCUCAUCUCUGGGAAGGGGCCCUUGACCCUCACCCCCCACCCCCGUCGUGUUAGAGGACAGGGGUGACAGAGCAGGGAGCAAAGUCAGGUGUGCACUCGCUCAGGGCUGAGGGUCGGGGAGGCCGAGGACUGAGGGGCGCCUACAGGUAGCUGCUGGAGGAUGGUGUGAGGGGCCGCCACUGAGAACCCGGGACACUGAGGAGACACGGGGGGCCUUUGUGCUCAGCACCCCCCAGGGGCUCUCAGCCGCACUGCUUCCCUGCCCCACGUGCUGUCUCCACCGCCAGAACCCAGGGCACCGAUGGGCCCUGCACUCAGAUCAUGACACACAUUCUAGGUUCCCUAAAGCCCGGGCCUUUCCGUCUUUGGAACCAUUGAAAACUUCCAAACAGUGGAGAGUGGAAUACAAAGACCUUCCUUGCUUUGAACCACUCGAGAAUCGGUUCCUGCCCGAACCCCCGGAGUCCGUCGGACAAGGGAUUCUGCACCCCACAGGGCCUCCAUCAGACUCGGGAGACCAGUCCUGGUGCGUCCUAGUUGCCAG